Molecule: ribosomal RNA, 492 nt
Filed under: uncultured bacterium
Lineage: Bacteria
Description: partial 16S ribosomal RNA
Rfam family: Bacterial small subunit ribosomal RNA
Source: RNAcentral
AGUGAACGCUGGCGGUAGGCCUAACACAUGCAAGUCGAACGGCAGCACAGUAAGAGCUUGCUCUUACGGGUGGCGAGUGGCGGACGGGUGAGGAAUACAUCGGAAUCUACUUUUUCGUGGGGGAUAACGUAGGGAAACUUACGCUAAUACCGCAUACGACCUACGGGUGAAAGCAGGGGAUCUUCGGACCUUGCGCGAUUGAAUGAGCCGAUGUCGGAUUAGCUAGUUGGCGGGGUAAAGGCCGACCAAGGCGACGAACCGUAGCUGGUCUGAGAGGAUGAUCAGCCACACUGGAACUGAGACACGGUCCAGACUCCGACGGGAGGCAGCAGUGGGGAAUAUUGGACAAUGGGCGCAAGCCUGAUCCAGCCAUACCGCGUGGGUGAAGAAGGCCUUCGGGUUGUAAAGCCCUUUUGUUGGGAAAGAAAAGCAGCAGGUUAAUACCCCGCUGUUCUGACGGUACCCAAAGAAUAAGCACCGGCUAACUUCGUG